UGUGAUUCAAUUACCGCUGCUCCAAGGAUUAAGUCCAUGCAUGUCUUAAGAUAUAGCAAAUUUAUUCUGCGGAACCUGGCGAAUGGGCUCAUAUAUAUAAGUUAUCCGUUUAUUUGAUAGUACCUUACUACUUGGAUAACCGUGGUAAUUCUAGAGCUAAUACAUGCUUAAAAAUCCCGACUUCGGAAGGGGAUGUAUUUAUUAGAUUAAAAACCAAUGGCCCCUCGGGGCUCUCUGGUGAUUCAUAAUAACUUCUUCGAAUCGCAGGGCCUUGCGCCGGCGAUGGGUUCAUUCAAAUUUCUUCCCUAUCAACUUUCGAUGUUUGGGUAGUGGCCAAACAUGGUUGCAACGGGUAACGGAGGGUUAGGGCUCGACCCCGGAGAAGGAGCCUGAGAAACGGCUACUACAUCCAAGGAAGGCAGCAGGCGCGCAAAUUACCCAAUCCCGAUUCGGGGAGGUAGUGACAAUAAAUACUGAUACAGGGCUCUUUCGGGUCUUGUAAUUGGAAUGAGUACAAUUUAAAUCCCUUAACGAGGAACAAUUGGAGGGCAAGUUUGGUGCCAGCAGCCGCGGUAAUUCCAGCUCCAAUAGCGUAUAUUAAAGUUGUUGUGGUUAAAAAGCUUGUAUUUGAACCUUGGGCCUGGCUGGCCGGUCCGCCUCACCGCGUGUCACUGGUCCGGCCGGGUCUUUCCCUUUGUGGAACCACAUGCCCUUCACUGGGGGUGGCGGGGAAAACAGGACUUUUACUUUGAAAAAAUUAGAGUGCUCCAGGCAGGCCUAUGCUUGAAUACAUUAGCAUGGAAAUAAUGAAAUAGGACGUGCGGUUUUAUUUUGGUUGGUUUCCUACGGACCGCCGUAAUGAUUAAUAGGGAACAGUCGGGGGCAUCAGUAUUCAUUUGUCAGAGGUGAAUUUCUUGUAUUUAUUGAAGACUAACUACUGCGAAAGCAUUCUGCCAAGGAUGUUUUUCAUUAAUCAGGACACGAAAUUUCAGGAGGAUCGAAGACGAUCAGAUACCUGUUCGAUAGUUUUACCCAUAAACUUUGCCGACUAGGGAAUCGGAACGAUGUUUAUUUAGUUGACUUCGUUCGUCAUCUUGACGAGAAACUCAAAGUGCUUGGGCUUCCCAGGGGGGAAGUUUCGCUCGCAAGCCUAGAACCCUCAAAGAUAUAUUUCGACGGAAGAAUC
RNAcentral lists this ribosomal RNA (1186 nucleotides) under Metarhizium sp. 1 AM-2020a. RNAcentral describes it as "bacterial SSU rRNA". It matches the Rfam family "Eukaryotic small subunit ribosomal RNA", at positions 1 to 1166 of the family's 1831-position model. Lineage: Eukaryota; Fungi; Ascomycota; Sordariomycetes; Hypocreales; Clavicipitaceae. The record is from RNAcentral.